This is a long non-coding RNA of Sinocyclocheilus grahami, 370 nucleotides long. RefSeq lists it as uncharacterized. NCBI's taxonomy places the organism in Eukaryota, Metazoa, Chordata, Actinopteri, Cypriniformes, Cyprinidae. The record is from RefSeq and is a predicted model, not a curated record. The transcript is spliced from 4 exons.
GCUGCUUAAGAUGUUGAUUCAUGCCUCCCUAUAAUCCAACAAUCAAAAACAACUUAAGUUGUUAAACAAAUAAGACAUUCACAUUCACAUGACCUGCUUCUGAUUUUUUUUUUCACUCUGAACAAUCUGAUGAAGAUCCAGUGCUAAUUAUUCCUGAAUGCUUCCAUGUCUUCCAUGGUCCUACAGCUGCUCGCACACUUGCAGAAAUUAGAUGGUCUUAUCCUUCAAGCAGAUGUAUUCGCCACUCCAUCUGAUGUCCAGCGGUCUCUACAUUUGCCAGAGAACACAAUUUAAAAUGCUUGACGCUUUCUCGACGUCAACCCUGAAUGUGCAUCAAAAACCAAGAAAGAAAAAGUGACUUAAAAGAAGA